This is a non-coding RNA of Podarcis lilfordi (Lilford's wall lizard), 8132 nucleotides long. The record is from the annotation of a GenBank genome assembly. Lineage: Eukaryota; Metazoa; Chordata; Lepidosauria; Squamata; Lacertidae.
GCUGUUAGUUUCCAGAAGUUGCUGCCUCAUGGGACAAGAGCCUCUCAGUGAAUAAGGUAUGGGGACUUGGCAAUUCAGGGUUGAACACAGUUGGUAUGGAGGAAGAGAAUUCUUAAGGAGAAGAGGGAAAUUCUCAGUCAUAAUAAUAUGAUACAAGAAGUGGUUUUUAACUCUCAAGGCACACACCAGCAAAUAAGGCAUGGUUAGAGUGAACUGCCUCCAGUGCCGAGAUUAUUCCAAGAUGGCUUAUUUUGUGGUUUCUUCCAUCCUUAUAUUUGCUGACCCUUUGCGGCCGGGAUUUAGUUUGUUCUUUUGUAAUGUUCUGUCUCAUCUCUGAACAUCUUAACUAGAUGCUGGGAAUUUGAAUGCAGAAUGUAAUUGUGUAAUAUUGUUUGAUGUAGAAAAGAUCAGUUUGUUUCCCUGGAAACAAAUGCCUUCUCAUUUGUAAUGCACCACCACCUGAGCGCCAGCAUUCUAACUAAUGGGAGCUCCCACUCUCUGUUGCUAAUUGCAACUGUGGGAGAUGGUCCAGGAUUGCAGAGGGCGUGCUGUAAUCCCAGUUGCAAACACAAUCCCACGUUUAUGUUGUUUUAAAAUUUUAUUUUUAAGACAUGUAUUUAUGGGCACCUAAUAUUUAAGUCUUAAGCUGUUACCUGGGGUUAAUAACAAGACUAGGGUUGAGCAAACAGUGCUUGGUUCUGGUUGUGCAUUCAAGUUGCAAGCAUUUGGUGGAUCAGGACUAUCUCUGUAUAAUAGCAGAGAUGGGGAACCAUUUUCAACCUGAGGGUCACAGCACCAUAUGCCAUUGGUGGAUUAGACCAGAGGCAAAUGUGAACAGAGCGACAAAUGUGAAUUUUACCUUUGCACAGUAGGCUUGUUCCUACUCGCAUGCUACUCUCUAUCCUCCAUCCAUGCAAGUGAGAAGCAUUAUUGGAGUUGAGGGGCACAUUCCAGCCAGGCAAGAACCCUCAUGGAGGUUGUAAAACAGGGCCAGUGAGGGUGUGUGGCCUGGAUAUAGUUCUUUGGGCUAGACAGAGAGGCCUGGAGAGCCACAUACUAUCGAGUGGCCCAGUUAGACCCCUGAAAUUGUGUGUAUCAGGUUGCUGAGAGAAGUAUAUUGUGGGGUGUGCUGAAUGAGCUCAUAACAGUGCCUCCCGAAAUCAAAUAUACUCAUUCAUGUCUCUAAGGCAGGGUGAGGAACCUGUGGCCCUCCAGAUGUUUGCCUGUGCCUGGAGUAGAACCUAUGUUGUCAGUUGCGCGUGGGCUCUAGUCCACAAAUUUCUGGCCACAACAGAGCAGUUAGCCCCUAAGUUCCACAGACCUUUGUUAUUCUUAAAAAGAUGGAGACAAAUCAGCUUUUGCACAACCUCACCAGAAUUCCUUUUCAUUUGACAAGGAGACUGCUUGGUACCAAAGCAGCUACUGGAAUUUGAAGACUUCCCCUCCUACCUCUUGCACUGCACUCCUGAAGUCUUUGAGGCACACCGUGAAAUGGAGGCAGCCCUCAGGUUUUAAAUGUCAGUGCUGUCUUUACAGCAGCUCUAGAUGAUGGAUUUGUCUCCCUGGCAGUGGGAAGGGCCUUGGCACUGCCAGGGCCUGAUGAGUAUUGUGGAGCAUUGGCGUUUACACAGCCGUUUGCUGACUCAUGGACAGAAAUUGACAGAGAGCAGCUGCCAGAAACUUGUUUUCCAGACCAAUUUUCUUGUUACUUAGAAAAUGUUACCUUUUAAGGAUGAGUAAUAGGGAGAGAGUAUGUGUUUGUGUGUCUGACAAGCAAGGGAGAAAGAGCAAGAAGGAAAGUGAUAAAAAUGUAAUCCAAAACAACCUGAUUGAAUUUCAAGUUAGAUAGCUCUAAGUAUCCAGAGGCAAGUGUGUCCCUAUGUAAUCUUCAUACGCAUGUUCCAUAUUAACAUAAAUGGGUCUAUGUCACUUGAAAUAGUGUUUUCAUUUGCCAAGGAAUCUGGUGGUAGGGGUGGCUUGUGAGUGAAGCAUAAGUGUUUGUAUGUGGGCUGUGUACACACAUAGCCUUUGAAAUGCACUGAGGGUUAUUCACAACACGCCUUUGUGCAUAAUGGUUUGCAGUUGUACACACCUUUAUGAAAUCCAAAGUAGUAGCUCCUAUCUGCGUGGUUUAUACACACAGGUGGGCAUGUUUUCAAAGUAGCAUGCAAGCUAAAGGUAAAGGUAAAGGGACCCCUGAUUGUUAAGUCCAGUUGCGGACGACUCUGGGGUUGCAGCACUCAUCUCGCUUUAUUGGCCAAGGGAGCCAGCGUAUAGCUUCCGGGUCAUGUGGCCAGCAUGACUAAGCCGCUUCUGGCGAACCAGAGCAGCACACGGAAACGCUGUUUACCUUCCCACCGGAGCGGUACCUAUUUAUCUACUUGCACUUUGAUGUGCUUUCGAACUGCUAGGUUGGCAGGAGCAGGGCCCGAGCAACGGGAGCUCACUCUGUUGCGGGGAUUCGAACCGCUGACUUCUGAUCGGCAAGCCCUAGGCUCAGUGGUUUAGAGCACAGUGCCACCUGCAUCCCUGUAGCAUGCAAGGGUGUCCUUUAUUACGCUUUCCCUCAGUUACUGUUUGUACAUACCAUUUUUUAAGGUAAUAAUUUUUCAGUUUUUCCAAAUAGAGGGGCUGGAUACUGGUGUGUUGAUAUAUUGAUUUGAAGAGGGGCAGGUAAGUUACCACACUCUCUGUGGACAAAUUUGUGCAGCAAGUGCUUGAGAAGUGUUUCAGCAGAGUAUUCCUUAGAUUGACAAAUAGUGUGGGGCAAGGAUGACAUGGGGAUUAUACUAUGUUUAUGGCACCCCCCAAACGUUGCCUGCAACCACCCCUGAAUGUCCAUUAUCACACAGUGUGUGCAUGCCAUUAAGUUACCAGCAGUGUAGUUUAAUUCGUGCUCAGGUCAAUAGGGCUUUGGUAUUAUUAAAUUUACCUACAUAAAUGCAUUCAGUUGUCCAAGUUAUGAAACAUUUAUUUUUUCAUCAUCGCCCAGUGAAAGAACCUCUCCCAGCUGCAUUCUUUCCUUGCUUAUUUAUUCUGAUAGCCUGGCCAACGUCAACAGGCCUUUCCAAGUGAAGGCUCUUUGCUCUGGGGGUUAAACCUUUUUCUUUUUAAUACUUUGCUGGUGCCAGCACAGGUGUCUACAUAAAUAGUUCUGGCGGAGGAGCCGGUUGUUGACUACUGCAGUCUUUAUACUACUGAACCCCACGCCCCAUUACAUGUGAUGAAAAGAAGCAACGAGAAACGAUGUUGGGCUGUGCCUCUUGGUGAUUUACUGUAUUGCAUGGGAUUGUACCUUUCAGAACUAACUUCAAACGAAUUGUAUUAUUUGUCCAGUUAGCAAUAACCGGGUAGGAUACUAGAAAGACAUAGAGCUUCAAUUUGAACAACAACACUGCAGCACUCUCAACCAAAUUAAAAACAACAACAACAACCCUAAGGCUGAGUGCCACACCUUUGGCUCAGAAACUGCCUUAGCUAUGAUGGUGAAUGCAAGUCAUAAGGUUUGAAACCAGCAGACUUUUUUUUUGUUAAUGCUUGUCUGUCCAUAACAUAAGGGAAAGUAGAACACAAUGUGAACCAUUUUAAAAAUGAAAACUGGAGGCUUCAACACUCUUGGCCAAAACAGUUAGUUAAUUAUUUAUUUUAGAAAUUUCUCCUUUGGGAGAGAUCUUCAGCUUUUCUCUGUGGACACUCAGCAAACACCAUCUAGACGAUCAGUUUUCACUCAUGGUUGAAUGUAGCCAUGUUUUCACACUGCACAAAGCGCUAAAGGAUUGUUCAGUUGUGUGUGUGUUGUAACUGGAGAGAAAUUGGGAGGGUGGCCAUUUUAAUAGCAGUUUGGUGUGCUCCAGUAGUUCAAUAAGGUUCAUAUUGUGAGAGAUUUGCAGUCAAACCUAACAAUGCUAGGCUGUAUGUGACUACAGAGGACUACAGAGUUCUAAAUUUCUAGAGUAGGCUCAGGAAUGUCACAUCCCCUCUUCUCCUGAGAGGAAGUAAGUAAGGCUUGUAUCCUGUUUCUGUUCUCUCUCACACACAUUGCAUGUGAUGGAGGCAGCCAUGCCUCAACAUAUCUCUCUGCCUCAGGAAUAUAUCUGAGGCUGCCUUCAGUGUAUUUUUCAACUAAGAACAUUUACCUGCCUAUUAUCACUGCUCCUAAGGACAAUGCAUAACUGUAAGUAAAGUAUAUUUAAAACUUACUUCAUUAUGUGGUCUGCUUCUCUGCAAGAGGGAUAAAGGGGGUCAGCUAUACCUCAAGCAGCUGGAAAGUAUUAAAAUAAGUUUUAAAAGCCUAUUCCUAUGCUUCACUAAUAAUUGGAUUUAAAUUCUGCUACUGUGGCUCUUUAUGUGCAAGCCCUGUGUUUUUAGAAACAAGCACCAACUGUUUUUCUUUUGUUUCCCUAUCCCACACAUGUGGAUCUGUAGAGUAUUACGGUAAAUAUAAUUAAUAUAUCCUGCCAGUAAAUAAUACCCAUUAAAACAUGUUGCAUAUGUCAUGCAAUGAUGGGUGAUAUUUAUUUGGUAUGUCUUUCUGCCCACAACUCUUACCAAGUAGCAGAUUAAUCCCUAAAGUUUUCAGAUUUGUAAAGUUCCUGAAUAGAAUGGACAUGAACUUGAAACUUUUUUUCUUCAGUGUGAUAUAUCUGAGAUGGAUGUAGUUUCAACAAACUGUAAGCAGGUUGGUUUUCUUCCCUGAAACAAAUCCUCAGUGAAGCAAUCAGUUAAUCCAGGUAAGGCGUGUAGAUGAACUAACAGAUUAGUUUGAAUGAUUGGCAUGGUUCAUUAGCCUAACCCUUGAGUUGCUCUACUGUACUGUUCUCGUGUGCUUUCAUUUCCAUUACAUUUAACUUAACAGAUUACAGAGCUUGGAUGAUUGGCUCUAGCAGAAAAAUCCAAUUGCUAUUUAAUUUUGAUGGCCCUACACUGAGUAGAACUUCGUUGGAUACUACCCUUUAUGUCCACCAUGUUUCAAGUGAAGGUGAGGCAGAGCUGUAGGUCUUUUCCAAUUUAAGACCAGCACUGUGGGAAGAUCAUCUUUUUUGACUUCACAAGUAAUUAUCCAGGAGUGAAACUUAGGUAUAAUGUGCAAGUCACUACUGCUUCUGCACAAAUACCAAUACUCACAUUUACAAGGCUGGGAAGACAAGCCUUUGUUCAUGUAAGCUAAAGAGUAAUGCUCUUUUCAAACAGGACCAAAACUUAUAAAAACUGAACUUUAAGCAGUGGGCAGUACUCCAGCAAGCACUAGAACGCAGAGCGAGUCAGACAGCUUUCUUACUUAGACCAUUACAGCUUGCCUCUAGCUAUUUUGUGGGUAAGUGAAGCGUCUAUGAAGAGUCUUCUUUAAUCUAGAUGGGUUGUCGCAUAAAAGAGAAUUCAGCAUAGCGCACAUGGCUCAGUUCACAACAAUGCAGUUGUAAUUGUAACCAAUUUAGUUCCCUUCGACCUAGUGGCCUAUAUCAAAAGCUCUGCUUAUCUAGGUUAUGAAUUGCAGUGUUAAGACUGGAAGAAGCCAUUGUGCAGUUUGUAGCUAGAAGCAGUGAUAAGGAGACCAAAUGGCUAGAAGCAAAGCAGAAACCAUCACUAUGAUUUCCAACAGUAGUAAUAACACUUUCCGUUUGAGUGAAUUCUGCCAAGAGUAUUUACCUGAACAAAAAUUACAGUCCUUCCUAACAAAUGACAAUUUCAUUUCCACAAUUGAUGAUCUUAGUACAUGGAUAUCUGUGAUCCCUUUCUCCAAACCUGAGCUCAGCUUUGGGGUGGGGAAAAACCUUUUGCAACUGGCCCAUCUCUGAUGGGGCAUGACCCCACGAGACAUGUCCAGAUGUUUAGUCUGCCAGGCAGGGCCUGCCCUAAAAUGAAUACUGCCCACACCUCCAUGGCCAGCUCUUCAGGGCCACUCAGAGUGUUUAUGGGGCCUGGUGGAGAUGUGAUGUUGAGAACCCCCUACAAGGACCUAUGCAGGUGUGUACAAAGCUAGGGAUCACAUGUUAGAAUUAUUGCAUGCACAGGUUAUAUGUGAGAAUUCUUGCUCUGAAAUUAAGCAGAAUGAUAGGUGUGCUUCAUUUUUUUUUCUUACAUGAGGGAUCAGGUUGUGCUUCUCCUGAGCGCCUCCUUCAGUAUGUAGUUCCAAUGCCCUUUGGGCAGACCUCAGUCUCACAGGUCUUCUGGUUGUGGCCUGCUGCUGGCCUUCUCCACUACAGUGGUGCCUCGCAAGACGAAUGCCUCGCAAGACGGAAAACCCGCUAGACGAAAGGGUUUUCCGUUCUUGAGUUGCUUCGCAGGAUGAAUUUCCCUAUGGGCUUGCUUCACAAGACGAAAAUGUCUUGCAAGUCUUGAGAUUUUUUUUUCCGCUUUCCCCCCCUUUUUCUAAGCCGCUAAGCCGCUAAUAGCCUUUUAGCAGCUAAGCCGCUAAGCCUUUAAUAGCCGCUAAACCGCUAAUAGCGCUAAGCCGCUAAUAGGGUUGCUUCGCAAGACGAAAAAACCGCUAGACGAAGACACUCGCGGAACGGAUUAAUUUCGUCUUGCGAGGCACCACUGUACUCACUCAGUAAGGCCUCAUGGAUUUGUAGGCCUAUAUUCUUUAUUAUGUUCAGCUCACACACAAAAUGGCUCCUGCUACAUUCUGUCCUCAGCUCUGUCCUCAGCUACAUGAAGUAGGCUCUCCAUCGAAGUGAUAUAAUUGGUCUUUAAGGGACAUGCUACAGUCUCCCAGACUGUAGCUGCUUCUUCGGCCUUCUUCCCUUGCUGCUUUUUAAAGAAAACUGAAAGUUGUGUUGCCCCAAAAUAUAGAGCGGCAGUAACCGCAUGACCAAGUCAAGCAAUUGCCUUGAACUCCAGUCAGUUUUGUAGCAUUAUUUAGGCUGAUAUCACCAUACUGUUAACUGCAGCGAGGCAUAUAGUAUAAGUGGGGCAUUUGUGUGAAUACCUGUAGGAGUUCUCAAUGAGAACUGUCUAAAUGAUCCAAUUUCCAUUAAUGUAGAAGAUGAGAACUCUGCCUCUCAUGAGACUCCUGCUGAAACAGUAAAAGAGAAGGAACCCCUACUAUAUGUACCUAUCAACAAUAUUUCUCAUUCUACAUACAUAUUUCUCAUUCUGUGGUUUCCAGUGGGCCAAAUGAAAUUGAGGAUAUGGCUUUUCCUCGAAAACAAAUGUCAUUUUUCAAAAGCUUAUUGCUGAAAGGGCUUUAGAUAAGCUGAAAAGGUGCUGGCUUGUCUAUUCUAAGAGUGCCAGCAAGGAUUUUUGCUGCUUCUGCAAAACAUUUCCAGGUGGUGCCACUGCCACUGCCAGUUCUUCGCUUGGGAGUAUCAGGACCAAUGACUGGAAACACUCUGAAACAGCACAAAAAGUCAUCCAAGCAUUUCACUUCAUUCUGCAACUGGAUAGAAACUGAAUCUUGGUCGAGGCUGAACCAGUGCAUUGAUGCAGAACAUCAGCCGAUGAUAAACCAAGAAAUUCAGCAUUGGAAGGGUGUGCUCAAAUGCCUAAUGGAUAUUCCACGGUCCCUGAUGGUGCACGAUUUGGCAUUCCAGAGAUUUUCGGAGAAGCUGUUCAGAGGCAACGGAAUAUUUCUGUUGUACAGUUGCUUGGCAAGUAAAAUGAAGAAAUGGAGAACAUUUGUGGUGUGUAUUUUCAAAGGAGCGUAAUGGUCACUGCUGUGGGAACACUAUUCAGAAUGAACCAGUAGCCCCAAGGAAAUGUUAGAGAACAUACAGAACAGAUUAUUCUUCACACUGGAUUGCAUAUCUUAAUGUAAAUUGCUCUGAAAAAAUGUCAUUCACAAGUGAGAUUUGCUGAAGAUGGGGAAGAUGGGUAAAUGAACAGUUUGUAGUACUGUUUAUUCUUAUGAAUCGGGGUGGGGUGGGGUGCAGGACACCCUAAAUUCUGGAUUAAGCUGCUGUUAGAAAUUAAUUAAGGUUUGGAGAAUUAAAACCAGAAAAUAGUCAGACUCAUGUGUAUUUAGGAUAGACCCAUGUGUAUCUGAGCUGUGCUAGGCUUUGCUAAUCCUUUAAUUAAGCCAAGUGUCGAAAGCCAAUUAAAUCAGGACUAGCCUCCUGCAUGAGGUGGGUUGUUAGCACAACAACCGAUCAACGCGAGUGGGGCCUACAAAAAACCAGGGGUUAAGAACAGAG